GAGUCUAACAUGUGCGCGAGUCAUUGGGACACGCAAACCUAAAGGCGAAAUGAAAGUGAAGGUCAGCCUCGCGCUGACCGAGGGAGGAUGGGCCGCGUCACGAUGCGGCCCCGCACUCCCGGGGCGUCUCGUUCUCAUUGCGAGAAGAGGCGCACCCAGAGCGUACACGUUGGGACCCGAAAGAUGGUGAACUAUGCCUGGUCAGGACGAAGUCAGGGGAAACCCUGAUGGAGGUCCGUAGCGAUUCUGACGUGCAAAUCGAUCGUCGGAACUGGGUAUAGGGGCGAAAGACUAAUCGAACCAUCUAGUAGCUGGUUCCCUCCGAAGUUUCCCUCAGGAUAGCUGGCACUCGCGUACAAAACGUACACGAGUCUCAUCCGGUAAAGCGAAUGAUUAGAGGCCUUGGGGCCGAAACGACCUCAACCUAUUCUCAAACUUUAAAUGGGUGAGAUCUCUGGCUUGCUUGAACUAUGAAGCCACGAGAUUUCGGAU
RNAcentral lists this ribosomal RNA (492 nucleotides) under Nematus sp. 1_KMKC. RNAcentral's name for it is "eukaryotic LSU rRNA". It matches the Rfam family "Eukaryotic large subunit ribosomal RNA", at positions 671 to 1113 of the family's 3401-position model. The record is from RNAcentral. RNAcentral also lists the same sequence under 1 other name. Lineage: Eukaryota; Metazoa; Arthropoda; Insecta; Hymenoptera; Tenthredinidae.